GCCAUCAUGGGGAAAAAGAAAAUGCUGCAGGCUUCCUAAAAGAUCUGGCAGCAGGUUGUCAGGCAGUGGGGGCGGGAUGUGCACAUCAGGAGAGGAGAGCUCUGUGGAGUUGAGUUGUGCUCAGUUGGAUACUGACGAGCGGCAAUGCUCAGAGGAGUGGCUGCCUCAGACACCGUGGGACCCACGAGUGUUUCCUUUGGGUGAGGACGAGGAAGACGCCCUGCUCUCUGAUAACCUAGAACAAGUCCCAUUAGGGUGGUUAGAGUGUAGCUCUGCCUCCUCCACAUCAAAGAACUCCAACUCCCAUCUCUCCCCAGCUCAGUCCUCUGGUGCUACACUCCCGUCUGGUGGACAAAGCCAGAGCUGCACACCCAAUGGCAGCUGAGAGAGCAGUGCCUUACUUUUACAUAACUCCACGUGCCUGGGACAAGGAGGAGAAAAUGUGCCAUGGGGACCUUAAAUGGGAUACUUAAUACAUUCCAGAACAGUGAUUUGAUGUUAAUUGUAUAAAACUUAAAAAAAAAAAAAAGUUUUGUAAGUAUAUUUUGUGAGUAUUGUAGCAUGUUACAAUAGUUUGAUUUGACUACUGUAGCUUCAGGUUUUAAUGUACAAGAGGUAACUGUAUGUAAAGAAAUAUCUACCAGCACAACUCCGCUGUAGUCUCAGGUUCGUAUACUGUUUGUAGUUGUCACUUACUAUUUAUUUCCACAGUUGUCUUAAAAAUGUCUGUAUAGGAAGACCAAAGUACAUACAUAUAUUUAUGUAACUUUUACUUGAUUUACAUGUGCUUCAUAAUUUCAUGUUUUUCUUUGUCUGACG
Perca flavescens (yellow perch) is the source of this 819-nucleotide long non-coding RNA. RefSeq lists it as uncharacterized. NCBI's taxonomy places the organism in Eukaryota, Metazoa, Chordata, Actinopteri, Perciformes, Percidae. The record is from RefSeq and is a predicted model, not a curated record. The transcript has 4 exons.